This 582-nucleotide long non-coding RNA is filed under the name Musa acuminata (dwarf banana). RNAcentral's name for it is "long non-coding RNA (MACU_LNC010879)". Lineage: Eukaryota; Viridiplantae; Streptophyta; Magnoliopsida; Zingiberales; Musaceae. The record is from RNAcentral.
AUUCAUAUAAGCAUUGCAAAUAUGGCAAUCAUAUCAAUUCAUAUAUCUCUUGAUGAUGCAAGCAUGGGAUAAUCAUAGCAUAGUGUUUAUAGGAUCAAUUCAUAUAUUUCUCCCCUUUUUUAAGUGUUUCAUCUUAAGUGAUCGAUUUCAUGUUAGCAUGCCUUUUCAUUUAUGUCAAAUAAAAACAUGCAUCAACGUUUAGGAUCGUAAAAUGAAUUUCAUCAUAAAACCAUCAAUCACAAAAAUCAUCAUGUAUAACUUUAAAAUCUCAUGCAUAAAAUCGUCAAAUCAUAGUAUCAAAACUUUAAUAUUUUCAUUGCAACAUUAAGCAAGGUUUCAUUGAACAUAAUUUUGAAUGAUUCUUAUAAAUGCCUAAAACUUCUUUAGUUUUAAUUUAUAUGAUUGACUUUAUAAUAGCAUGCUCAAAUCUUUAUUCUUAUGUCAAAACCAUACAUCAUAUUUAACAAACAAAGACAAUGAAAAAUAUCACGCCUUCCAGACAAAAGCCAUGUAUCGUCAUUGAAAAGCAAUAUGAAAAUCAUCAAAAUAUACAUUCUUGCUUCUAAAGCACAUAAAUAAGAU